Molecule: ribosomal RNA, 372 nt
Filed under: uncultured organism
Description: bacterial SSU rRNA
Rfam family: Bacterial small subunit ribosomal RNA
Source: RNAcentral
CGGGGGGGCAAGCGUUGUUCGGAAUUACUGGGCGUAAAGGGUGCGUAGGCGGCUCUCUAAGUCGGAUGUGAAAACUCUGGGCUCAACCCAGAGCCUGCAUCUGAAACUGGAGGGCUAGGGUUUUUGGAGGGGAAAGCGGAAUUCCAGGUGUAGCGGUGAAAUGCGUAGAUAUCUGGAGGAACACCGGUGGCGAAGGCGGCUUUCUGGACAAAUACCGACGCUGAGGCACGAAAGCUAGGGGAGCAAACAGGAUUAGAUACCCUGGUAGUCCUAGCCCUAAACUAUGGAUACUUGCUGUGGGGGGGAUUGAAGCCCCUUGUGGCGAAGCUAACGCAUUAAGUAUCCCGCCUGGGGAGUACGGUCGCAAGGCUG